This 70-nucleotide transfer RNA is filed under the name Tetragenococcus halophilus subsp. halophilus. Its description in RNAcentral is "tRNA-Pro". It matches the Rfam family "tRNA". Rfam says of the family: Transfer RNA (tRNA) molecules are approximately 80 nucleotides in length. Their secondary structure includes four short double-helical elements and three loops (D, anti-codon, and T loops). Further hydrogen bonds mediate the characteristic L-shaped molecular structure. tRNAs have two regions of fundamental functional importance: the anti-codon, which is responsible for specific mRNA codon recognition, and the 3' end, to which the tRNAs corresponding amino acid is attached (by aminoacyl-tRNA synthetases). tRNAs cope with the degeneracy of the genetic code in two manners: having more than one tRNA (with a specific anti-codon) for a particular amino acid; and 'wobble' base-pairing, i.e. permitting non-standard base-pairing at the 3rd anti-codon position. Lineage: Bacteria; Bacillati; Bacillota; Bacilli; Lactobacillales; Enterococcaceae. The record is from RNAcentral.
GAAGUAGCUCAGCUUGGUAGAGCACUUGGUUUGGGACCAAGGGGUCGUAGGUUCGAAUCCUGUCUUCCCG